GAUGAACGCUGGCGGCGUGCCUAAUACAUGCAAGUCGAGCGAACGGACGAGAAGCUUGCUUCUCUGAUGUUAGCGGCGGACGGGUGAGUAACACGUGGAUAACCUACCUAUAAGACUGGGAUAACUUCGGGAAACCGGAGCUAAUACCGGAUGAUAUUUUGAACCGCAUGGUUCAAAAGUGAAAGACGGUCUUGCUGUCACUUAUAGAUGGAUCCGCGCUGCAUUAGGUAGUUGGUAAGGUAACGGCUUACCAAGGCAACGAUGCAUAGCCGACCUGAGAGGGUGAUCGGCCACACUGGAACUGAGACACGGUCCAGACUCCUACGGGAGGCAGCAGUAGGGAAUCUUCCGCAAUGGGCGAAAGCCUGACGGAGCAACGCCGCGUGAGUGAUGAAGGUCUUCGGAUCGUAAAACUCUGUUAUUAGGGAAGAACAUAUGUGUAAGUAACUGUGCACAUCUUGACGGUACCUAAUCAGAAAGCCACGGCUAACUACGUG
Molecule: ribosomal RNA, 497 nt
Filed under: uncultured bacterium
Lineage: Bacteria
Description: partial 16S ribosomal RNA
Rfam family: Bacterial small subunit ribosomal RNA
Source: RNAcentral